UACGGGGGGGGCAAGCGUUGUUCGGAAUUACUGGGCGUAAAGGGCUCGUAGGCGGCCAACUAAGUCAGACGUGGAAUCCCCAGGCUCAACCUGGGAACUGCGUCUGAUACUGGAUGGCUUGAAUCCGGGAGGGGGAUGCAGAAUUCCAGGUGUAGCGGUGAAAUGCGUAGAUAUCUGGAGGAAUACCGGUGGCGAAGGCGGCAUCCUGGACCGGCAUUGACGCUGAGGAGCGAAAGCCAGGGGAGCAAACGGG
This 253-nucleotide ribosomal RNA is filed under the name uncultured bacterium. RNAcentral's name for it is "partial 16S ribosomal RNA". It matches the Rfam family "Bacterial small subunit ribosomal RNA", at positions 524 to 776 of the family's 1533-position model. The record is from RNAcentral.